GAUUGAUCUUGUCGGUGGCUUUCCUUUAUCUUGAAGAUUAAGCCAUGCAUGUCUAAGUAUGAACUGGUUUAAGGUGAAACUGCGUACGGCUCAUUACAUCAGCUAUAACUUUCUUUGAUCAUAAAUUCUAAAUGGAAUAACCGAGGAAAAGCCUGGGCUAAUACAUGCGACAAUUCCGAUAGUAAUAUCGGAAUGCUUUUAUUAGAUCAAAACCUUCUAGUUUCUUUACGGGAACUGUUUGUUGGUGACUCUAAAUAACUUUGUGUUGAUCGUAUGACCUUUGUGUCGACGACAUAUCUUUCAAGUGUCUGACUUAUCAACUUUAGACGGUACAUUAUAUGUCUACCGUGGUUGUAACGAGUACAGAGAAUCAGGGUUUGGUUCUGGAGAGGCCGCCUGAGAAACGGCGACCACUUCCAAGGAAGGCAGCAGGCGCGCAAAUUACCCACUCUCAAAACGAGGAGGUAGUGAAGAGAAAUAACGAUGUUAGUCUUUUUAAGGCUGACAAUCGGAAUGGGAACACUGUAAACAGGUUAUCGAUUAACAAUUGGAGGGCAAGUCUGGUGCCAGCAGCCGCGGUAAUUCCAGCUCCAAUAAGGAAAACUAAAGUUGCUGUGUUUAAAAAGCUCGUAGUUGAAUUUCGGGUAUUUGUUGCUAGCUGGUCUAACUGGCCAUGUUGGUUAACAGAUCCUCAUUUGCUGGACAGCUAGCGAUGAUCUUCAUCGAUUGUCGUCAGUUGCCAGAACGUUUACUUUGAGAAAAUUAGAGUGCUAAAAGCAGGCUCACGCCUAUAUAUAUUGCAUGGAAUAAUGAAAUAAGAUCUCGAUUUUAUUUCGUUGGUUUUAGAAGUUGAGAUAAUGAUUAAUAGGAUCAGAGGGGGGCGUACGUACUGUGGUGUGAGAGGUGAAAUUCUUGGAUCGCCACAGGACGAACAGCAGCGAAGGCGUUCGCCAAGAAUGUUUUCAUUAAUCAAGAACGAAAGUUUGAGGUUCGAAGACGAUUAGAUACCGUCCUAGUUCAAACCAUAAACGUUGCCAACUGUCUUUUAGAUGCGGUUAUUUAUAUGACUCAUCUGGCGGAUCUCGAGAAAUCUAAGUUUUUAGGUUCCGGGGGAAGUAUGGUUGCAAAGCUGAAACUUAAAAGAAUUGACGGAAGGACACACAAGAAGUGGAGCCUGUGGCCUAAUUUGACCCAACACGGGAAACCUUACUCGGCCAGGACACUUUUAGGAUUGACAGAUUGAGAGCUCUUUCU
RNAcentral lists this ribosomal RNA (1254 nucleotides) under metagenome. RNAcentral describes it as "SSU rRNA". It matches the Rfam family "Eukaryotic small subunit ribosomal RNA", at positions 6 to 1262 of the family's 1831-position model. The record is from RNAcentral.